Molecule: ribosomal RNA, 458 nt
Filed under: uncultured bacterium
Lineage: Bacteria
Description: partial 16S ribosomal RNA
Rfam family: Bacterial small subunit ribosomal RNA
Source: RNAcentral
CCUACGAGUGGCAGCAGUGGGGAAUCUUGCACAAUGGGGGAAACCCUGAUGCAGCGACGCCGCGUGAGUGAAGAAGUAAUUCGUUACGUAAAGCUCUAUCAGCAGGGAAGAAAUACUGACCUUACGGUCAGCAGACGGUACCUGAGUAAGAAGCCCCGGCUAACUACGUGGCAGCAGCCGCGGUAACACGUAGGGGGCAAGCGUUCUCCGGAUUUACUGGGGGUAAAGGGAGCGUAAACGGUGCGCCAAGUUUGGAGUGAAAUGCCGCAGGUUAAUUGAGGAACUGCUUUGGAAACUGGCGAACUAGAGUGCGGGAGGGGUAAGCGGAAUUCCUAGUGUAGCGGUGAAAUGCGUAGAUAUUAGGAGGAACACCGGUGGCGAAGGCGGCUUACUGGACCGUAACUGACGUUGAGGCUCGAAAGCGUGGGGAGCAAACAGGAUUAGAUACCCGAGUAGUC